This is a long non-coding RNA of Sapajus apella (tufted capuchin), 2223 nucleotides long. RefSeq lists it as uncharacterized. The record is from RefSeq and is a predicted model, not a curated record. The transcript is spliced from 3 exons. NCBI's taxonomy places the organism in Eukaryota, Metazoa, Chordata, Mammalia, Primates, Cebidae.
CUGGACUCCAGCCUGGGCAGCAGAGCCAGACUCCAUCUAAAAAAAAAAAAAAAAAAAAGACUCAAACAUGGUACUAACAACAGGAGAGAAGUGGGUGGGAAAAAAGCAAGCGAAUUGGAACUUUUGAGGCUCUAGAACACCAUUCAUAGGAUUAUAUGCUGAUAAUGUUUAUUUUAAACAUUUAUUUAUAUUUAAUAUUAUCUAUUAAUAAUAUUUAUUCAAAAAUAAUGACAUUACUAUGUUGGCCACUAAUAUUGGCCUACAAAAAUUUAACACAGGAAUCUUGAAGAUUUGAUGUCCACAGAAGGCGUGAAACCAAAGCAACGAGAAACACAAACACAGAGAAUUUCAUCCUUUCUGCUCACUGAAAAUUCUCUCUUCUUGAGAAUCAAGUCUUUUAAAAAAUAUAUUUCGUGAAACUGAAAUAAUCAGCAAGGAUUUUGUUUAGCUCUUUUAACAGAGACCAAAUGACAGUGCCUCAGACAAGGUAGAAGAUUGUGUGUCUUUCAUGUUAAAGCCUCAGCUGCUCAGCAGACCAGGAAGCAGGAAGUUAGGCUUCACGUGUCUGUGAACGAAUCAUACCAAACUCCCUGCCCUCAUGAGGUGGGGGCAGGGUGGGGUGGAGGAGGAAACCAACAUCCAUAAAGACAGAGUGUACUAGAGGGUGACAGCAAGCAGGAAGAAGGUUAAGCAGGGUAAGAGUUGGUAGUCAAGGAGAGUAGAUUAAAUUUAAAGACGGGGGCCAGGUGAACCACUUCAAGAGGGAGCCUACCAGGUGAAACUAGAAGGAAGCAAAAGAGGAAGUGGUGGAGGUAUUUGAGGGAAAGCAAGCAGAGGGGAUGGGCGGUCAGUUCAGAGGUCCUGGGGCCUGUUCACAACUGAGCUGUCUGAGGAGCACAAAAGCGUGGCUGCCAUACACAGAGUGAGCAAAGAUGACCCCCACCGAAGCAGAUGCUCCCCUGUUCCCUGCUGGGACCCGGUCCCAACCCCAGUACUAGCCCCAGUGAUCUACUCUCUACUCUUCUUUGCCGUUUGUGCCUUAGAAGAUUAACCUGUAUGAGCCACAUCAAUCAGUUCCCUUGUCCUCUGUUUGGGUUCAUCAGAUGAGGUGUCCUGGCAGGAGAUGAGAAAGCAGGAGCAGAGUAACCUUGGGGUAUCUAUUUCUCUAAUGCCUCCAAACUAGAUCACUGUGAAUUAGUUACAUCCCUCAACUGAUGAUUACAGCUUCUGCCAAGCAACUGUCCCACUCCAUACAGCUCUUUCUCUCCUGGUUCUAGUAAUUGCUUCCUGUCCUCAAUUCUUCAUACCUAGGAAUGAUAAAGGAGCCCUGCCCUUACUGACCUUGUGCUGUUACACUAGCCCUGUGGUUUCCCUACUGCACCACCCAUUCCUUUGUGAGUAGUCCCUCUUAUUUUUCUCUCAUCUGUUACCUAACUUGACUUUGCCAUUUGCCUUCUGCUAAGAACUUGAUGAUACAAUAGCUACGUGAUGGGCUUCCCUUCCUGUGAGUCUUCAGAAUAUUCCCUUGCUUUUAUCUAACGUUUUGAGAUGAAAAUAAAUUCAUCCUAACUGAACAUUUCCUUGAUGGCUGGUCUAGUAAAGGGAGCUUGCUUUUCAAUACAUAAUGUUCAUAAUAGAAAUUAAAAACUUUCCUCAUGGAACACUCUGAGGUUCAUGGUUUGCGGAGGCUUUGUAUAAAAGGAAGGUGAAGAAGGAAUGGAUAUCAACCACUCCCCACCUCCAUUCUACUUUAGAGUUUUUGGCUGAUUUGGGGGAAGUUGCAAAAUUUGUGCCUUAAGACAGUGGUCCCCAACCUUUUGGCACCAGGGACCAGUUUCGGGAAGACAACUUUUCCAUGAACUGGGGGCUGGGACGACGGUUUCGGGAUGCAACUGUUCCACCUCACAUAAUCAGGCAUUAGAUUCUCACAAGAAGCAUGCAACCCAGAGCCCUUACACGCACAGUUCAUAAUACUGUUUGUGCUCAAAUGCUACCACUGAUCUGACAGAAGAUGGAGCUCAGGCAGUAAUGCUUGCUCACCCGCUGCUCACCUUCUGCUGUGCGGCCCAGUAUCCUAACAGGCUAGGGGCUGUACAGAUCUGCGGCCCAGGGCCUGGGGAUCCCUGCCUUAAGAGAUCAACCAACUCUUCAGUAUAUGAGGGUUUACGUGGGUAAUUAUAGAAUUAACUUAUUAUAGAUGACCAGAUGGAAUUUUUAGUCAGU